GAUGAACGCUGGCGGCGUGCCUAAUACAUGCAAGUCGAGCGAAAAGAUAAGGAGCUUGCUCCUUUGACGUUAGCGGCGGACGGGUGAGUAACAUGUGGAUAACCUACCUAUAAGACUGGAACAACUCCGGGAAACCGGUGCUAACGCCGGCUAACAUUUAGAACCGCAUGGUGCUAAAGUGAAAGAUGGUUUUGCUAUCACUUAUAGAUGGACCCGCGCCGUAUUAGCUAGUUGGUAAGGUAACGGCUUACCAAGGCAACGAUCCGUAGCCGACCUGAGAGGGCGAUCAGCCACACUGGGACUGAGACACGGUCCAGACUCCUACGGGAGGCAGCAGUGGGGAAUCUUCCGCAAUGGGCGAAAGCCUGACGGAGCAACGCCGCGUGAGUGAUGAAGGUCUUCGGGUCGUAAAACUCUGUUAUUAGGAAAGAACAAAUGUGUACUUAACUGUGCACGCCUUGACGGUACCUGAUCAGAAAGCAACGGCUAACUACGUG
Molecule: ribosomal RNA, 497 nt
Filed under: uncultured bacterium
Lineage: Bacteria
Description: partial 16S ribosomal RNA
Rfam family: Bacterial small subunit ribosomal RNA
Source: RNAcentral